GGAUGUGAGGGUGAUCUGGCUGUGACAUCUGUCACCCCAUUGAUCGCCAGGGUUGAUUCAGCUGAUCUGGCUGGCUAGGUGUGUGUCCCCUUCCUCACUCACCGCUCCAUGUGCGUCCCUCCCGAAGCUGCAUGCCUGGCAACCAUCCCCGAUAGAGGAGGACCAUUCUUCGGUCAAGGGUGUACGAGUAGCUGCUCUCCCCUGCUAGAACCUCCAAACAAGCUCUCAAAAAAGGGGGGAAAUACAGUUCAAGAUUAUUGGUGCUUAAUAAUAGAGAAACAUAU
RNAcentral lists this small nuclear RNA (284 nucleotides) under Castor canadensis (American beaver). RNAcentral's name for it is "7SK RNA (ENSCCNG00000027120.1)". It matches the Rfam family "7SK RNA". From Rfam's summary of the family: 7SK was discovered as an abundant small nuclear RNA in the mid-70s but a possible function has only recently been suggested. Two independent studies have found that 7SK RNA binds the CDK9/cyclin T complex (known as elongation factor P-TEFb). P-TEFb activates transcription by phosphorylating the C-terminal domain of RNA polymerase II. Lineage: Eukaryota; Metazoa; Chordata; Mammalia; Rodentia; Castoridae. The record is from Rfam by way of RNAcentral.